CCUUUCAAUGCAGCAGAAUUGGGAUGGUUGGGUAUCUCGCCUCUCCGUUCUGCCUGUAUUCUACCCUUGUUUGUCAUAUACUAUUAUUUCCUCGGCAGGCUUGCCUGCCGAGUGAAACCAUUUAUAACCUUUUUAAUUUUCAAUCAGCGUCUGAAAAAAAUUAAUAAUUA
RNAcentral lists this unclassified non-coding RNA (170 nucleotides) under soil metagenome. Its description in RNAcentral is "partial internal transcribed spacer 1". The record is from RNAcentral.